RNAcentral lists this transfer RNA (72 nucleotides) under Chloroflexota bacterium. RNAcentral's name for it is "Chloroflexi bacterium (marine metagenome) tRNA-Gly". It matches the Rfam family "tRNA". From Rfam's summary of the family: Transfer RNA (tRNA) molecules are approximately 80 nucleotides in length. Their secondary structure includes four short double-helical elements and three loops (D, anti-codon, and T loops). The record is from RNAcentral. Lineage: Bacteria; Bacillati; Chloroflexota.
GCGGGUGUAGUUCAGCGGUAGAACAUCUCCCUGCCGAGGAGAAGGUCACGGGUUCGAGCCCCGUUGCCCGCU